CGACAAGCGGAGGAGGCAUGUGGUUUAAUUCGAUGAUACGCGAGGAACCUUACCUGGGCCCGAACGUAAGAUGACUGUAGGUGAAAGCUUACAUCUCUUCGGAGCAUUUUACGAGGUGCUGCAUGGUUGUCGUCAGCUCGUGCCGUGAGGUGUCGGGUUAAGUCCCAUAACGAGCGCAACCCCUACCUUUAGUUGCCAUCAGGUUAGGCUGGGGACUCUAAAGGAACUGCCUACGCAAGUAGUGAGGAAGCGGGGAUGACGUCAAAUCAGCACGGCCCUUACGUCCAGGGCUACACACGUGCUACAAUGGCCGAUACAGAGGGCAGCUACCUGGUGACAGGAUGCAAAUCUCCAAAGUCGGUCUCAGUUCGGAUCGGAGUCUGCAACCCGACUCCGUGAAGUUGGAUUCGCUAGUAAUCGCGCAUCAGCCAUGGCGCGGUGAAUACGUUCCCGGGCCUU
Molecule: ribosomal RNA, 459 nt
Filed under: uncultured Sphingobacteriales bacterium
Lineage: Bacteria; Pseudomonadati; Bacteroidota; Sphingobacteriia; Sphingobacteriales
Description: bacterial SSU rRNA
Rfam family: Bacterial small subunit ribosomal RNA
Source: RNAcentral